Molecule: ribosomal RNA, 527 nt
Filed under: Trypanosoma evansi
Lineage: Eukaryota; Euglenozoa; Kinetoplastea; Trypanosomatida; Trypanosomatidae
Description: SSU rRNA
Rfam family: Eukaryotic small subunit ribosomal RNA
Source: RNAcentral
UCUUUUUCUAUGUCGCGGCUUGUGUUUACGCACUUGUCGUGGCGAUGGGACGUCCAGCGAAUGAAUGAAAUUAGAACCAACGCCUCCACCCGGGGGCAGUAACACUCAGACGUGUUGACUCAAUUCAUUCCGUGCGAAAGCCGAGCCUUGUUGCUCGGCGUCUACUGACGAACAACUGCCCUAUCAGCCAGUGAUGGCCGUGUAGUGGACUGCCAUGGCGUUGACGGGAGCGGGGGAUUAGGGUUCGAUUCCGGAGAGGGAGCCUGAGAAAUAGCUACCACUUCUACGGAGGGCAGCAGGCGCGCAAAUUGCCCAAUGUCGAAAAAAUACGAUGAGGCAGCGAAAAGAAAUAGAGCCGACCGUGCCCUAGUGCAUGGUUGUUUUCAAUGGGGGAUACUCAAACCCAUCCAAUAUCGAGUAACAAUUGGAGGACAAGUCUGGUGCCAGCACCCGCGGUAAUUCCAGCUCCAAAAGCGUAUAUCAAUGCUGUUGCUGUUAAAGGGUUCGUAGUUGAACUGUGGGCCACG